This 981-nucleotide ribosomal RNA is filed under the name Hyalessa maculaticollis. RNAcentral's name for it is "SSU rRNA". It matches the Rfam family "Eukaryotic small subunit ribosomal RNA", at positions 44 to 923 of the family's 1831-position model. The record is from RNAcentral. Lineage: Eukaryota; Metazoa; Arthropoda; Insecta; Hemiptera; Cicadidae.
AUUAGCCAUGCAGUCUCAGUACAUGCCGCACUAAGGUGAAACCGCAAAAGGCUCAUUAAAUCAGUUAUGGUUCCUUGGAUCUUAAACAGUUACUUGGAUAACUGUGGUAAUUCUAGAGCUAAUACAUGCAAACAAGUCCCGACCAGAGAUGGGAGGGACGCUUUUAUUAGAUCAAAACCGAUCGGCGUCCGGCUCCGGCCGGCGCCGUCUCUUUUGGUGACUCUGGAUAACUUUUAGCCGAUCGCACGGUCACAGUACCGGCGACGCAUCUUUCAAAUGUCUGACUUAUCAACUGUCGAUGGUAGGCUCUGCGCCUACCAUGGUUGUAACGGGUAACGGGGAAUCAGGGUUCGAUUCCGGAGAGGGAGCCUGAGAAACGGCUACCACAUCCAAGGAAGGCAGCAGGCGCGCAAAUUACCCACUCCCGGCACGGGGAGGUAGUGACGAAAAAUAACGAUACGGGACUCAUCCGAGGCCCCGUAAUCGGAAUGAGUACACUUUAAAUACUUUAACGAGUACCAAUUGGAGGGCAAGUCUGGUGCCAGCAGCCGCGGUAAUUCCAGCUCCAAUAGCGUAUAUUAAAGUUGUUGCGGUUAAAAAGCUCGUAGUUGGAUCUGUGUGCCACGCUGUCGGUUCACCGCCUGUCGGUGUCAACUGGCAUGUCUGUGGGACGUCCUGCCGGUGGCGGUACGGGCUGCCGGCGCUGCGUAGGGGCUCGCCCCCGAAGCACGCCGGCGUGUCCCGGUCCGCCGAUCCAAUCCCGCCGCGGUGCUCUUCACUGAGUGUCGAGGUGGGCCGGCACGUUUACUUUGAACAAAUUAGAGUGCUCAAAUCAGGUCGUAUUUAGGCCUGAAUACUGUGUGCAUGGAAUAAUGGAAUAGGACCUCGGUUCUAUUUUGUUGGUUUUUUGGAAUCAGAGGUAAUGAUUAAUAGGGACAGUCGGGGGCAUUCGUAUUGCGACGUUAGAGGUGAAUUUCUUGG